This 497-nucleotide ribosomal RNA is filed under the name uncultured Yaniella sp. Its description in RNAcentral is "partial 16S ribosomal RNA". Lineage: Bacteria; Bacillati; Actinomycetota; Actinomycetes; Micrococcales; Micrococcaceae. The record is from RNAcentral.
CACGUAGUUAGCCGGUGCUUCUUCUGAAGGUACCGUCACCCCGAAGGGCUUCUUCCCAACUGAAAGAGGUUUACAACCCGAGGGCCGUCAUCCCUCACGCGGCGUCGCUGCAUCAGGGUUUCCCCCAUUGUGCAAUAUCCCCCACUGCUGCCUCCCGUAGGAGUCUGGGCCGUGUCUCAGUCCCAGUGUGGCCGGUCACCCUCUCAGGCCGGCUACCCGUCAAAGCCUUGGUAGGCCAUUACCCCACCAACAAACUGAUAGGCCGCGAGUCCAUCCAAAACCGCCUCAAGCUUUCAACCAACCACCAUGCGAUGGCCAGUCCUAUCCAGUAUUAGACCCAGUUUCCCAGGCUUAUCCCAGAGUUCAGGGCAGGUUACUCACGUGAUACUCACCCGUUCGCCACUCACUCCACCCCCAGCAAGCUGGGAGCUUCAGCGUUCGACUUGCAUGUGUUAAGCACGCCGCCAGCGUUCAUCCUGAGCCAGGAUCAAAACUCU